RNAcentral lists this ribosomal RNA (1247 nucleotides) under Micadina brachyptera. RNAcentral's name for it is "16S ribosomal RNA". The stretch from base 977 to 1135 matches the Rfam family "Archaeal large subunit ribosomal RNA", at positions 2542 to 2701 of the family's 2987-position model. The record is from RNAcentral. Lineage: Eukaryota; Metazoa; Arthropoda; Insecta; Phasmatodea; Lonchodidae.
UAGUAUUUUAUUUUGAAUUAAUUUUAUUUGUUAUAUUUUAUAAGUACUGUUAAGGAUUUAAUUUUAAUAGUUUUUUAGUAGAAUUAUUAUUCGUACCUUUUGUAUCAGGGUGUAUUUAAUUUUUAUUAUUUAUUUAUUUUUCUCGAAUUGAUUUGAUCUAAAUGUUUAUGUUUUUUAAAAUGGUAUAUUUAUUUAUUAUAAUUAUUUAGGUAUGAUAUGUUAUUCGUAAAUCAAUAUAUCUAGUUUUCUUAUAAAUGAAUUUAAUUCAGCUAUUUUUAUUUAAUGAUUUUGUUUUUAAUGUUUUAUUUAUUGAUGGUAAUAUUUUGGGGGAUUAGCUCUUAAAUAUUUUUAUAAUUUUAAUUGUUUAAUGUUAUGUAGGUUUUAUAUUGACCAUCAUUAAUUAGUAUUUUAUAAUUUAUUAUUUUUAUUUAUUUAUUUUUUAUUUGAUUUAAUUAUUUAUUUGAAUUAUUUAAUUAAUUAUUUAUUAUUUGAAAUAAUGAUUUAAUUAGUAUAUUUUUAUUUAUUUGUUUUUGUUAAUUUAUAUAUUUAUAAGGAACUAGGCAAGUAUUUGUAUUCGCCUGUUUAUCAAAAACAUCUUUUCUAGUAAUUUUAUUUGAGAUUUGACCUGCCCAAUGAUUUAUUUAAUGGCCGCGGUAUUUUGACCGUGCAAAGGUAGCAUAAUCAUUAGUUUAUUAAUUGUGGACUUGUAUGAAUGGUUGGACGAGAUAUUUACUGUCUCAUAUUUAUAUAUAAAAUUUAAAAUUUGAGUUAAAAUGCUUAGGUUUUUUUAUAGGACGAGAAGACCCUAUAGAUCUUUAUUUAUUAAUUUAUUAUAUUUUUUGGUUUAUAUUUUUAUAAUAAUUUAAUUUAUUUUGUUGGGGUGACAUUGAUAUAUAAUUAACUAUUAUUUCUAUUUAUUCAAUUAUUUUUGUUUACUUGACCUUUUAUUAAUGUUAUAAGAUUUAGAUACCUUAGGGAUAACAGCGUAAUUCUUUUUGAGAGUUCAUAUCGACAGAAGAGUUUGCGACCUCGAUGUUGGAUUAAGAAUAUAUUUAGGCGUAGGUGCUUAACUAUUAGGUCUGUUCGACUUUUAAAUUCUUACAUGAUCUGAGUUCAAACCGGCGUGAGCCAGGUUGGUUUCUAUCCUUAAUUUUUGUUUUUAUAUUAGUACGAAAGGACCAUAUAAUUUGAAUAAUUUAUUUAUUUGAUUAUUAUUACUAAUUUGGCAGAUAUAUAAGUGCAAUAAA